Molecule: long non-coding RNA, 343 nt
Filed under: Androctonus crassicauda
Lineage: Eukaryota; Metazoa; Arthropoda; Arachnida; Scorpiones; Buthidae
Source: RNAcentral
AAGAAAGUCAAAAAUGCGCAUUUCGCGAAAAUUAAAAAGUCUUGAGAGAGUUCUGGUAGAAGCUAAACUUUUUUGUUUUUUUUUUUCUUUCCUCCCUCUCGUAAAUAGGAGGAAGAAAAGCCGAAUCAUCAAAGCGACCGUGUGUCAAUGUUACGCUUUAAAAUGGCGUAACGGGAUUUCUCACGCGAAAUAUUCCCCUAACCCAGAGUCACGCAUUGAAGUAGGGGAGCUUCUCCACAUACGAGGUCACUGAAAUCCAACAGAUCGUUUUCCCCCUUCUGUGUGUGUGUAUGUAUGUGUGUGUGUGUGUGAGAAGUAAAACACGCGAAGAGUGCAUCAGGGU